This 497-nucleotide ribosomal RNA is filed under the name uncultured bacterium. RNAcentral's name for it is "partial 16S ribosomal RNA". It matches the Rfam family "Bacterial small subunit ribosomal RNA", at positions 28 to 507 of the family's 1533-position model. The record is from RNAcentral.
GAUGAACGCUGGCGGCGUGCCUAAUACAUGCAAGUCGAGCGAACAGACGAGGAGCUUGCUCCUCUGACGUUAGCGGCGGACGGGUGAGUAACACGUGGAUAACCUACCUAUAAGACUGGGAUAACUUCGGGAAACCGGAGCUAAUACCGGAUAAUAUAUUGAACCGCAUGGUUCAAUAGUGAAAGACGGUUUUGCUGUCACUUAUAGAUGGAUCCGCGCCGCAUUAGCUAGUUGGUAAGGUAACGGCUUACCAAGGCAACGAUGCGUAGCCGACCUGAGAGGGUGAUCGGCCACACUGGAACUGAGACACGGUCCAGACUCCUACGGGAGGCAGCAGUAGGGAAUCUUGCGCAAUGGGCGAAAGCUUGACGGAGCAACGCCGCGUGAGUGAUGAAGGUCUUCGGAUCGUAAAACUCUGUUAUUGGGGAAGAACAAAUGUGUAAGUAACUAUGCACGUCUUGACGGUACCUAAUCAGAAAGCCACGGCUAACUACGUG